GUAGGGAAUUGUUCGCAAUGGGCGCAAGCCUGACGACGCAACGCCGCGUGGAGGAUGAAGGGCUUCGGCUCGUAAACUCCUUUCGACCGAGAUGAAUAUCCAUGGGGCUAAUAUCCCUGUGGACUGACAGUAUCGAGGGAAGAAGCCCCGGCUAACUCCGUGCCAGCAGCCGCGGUAAUACGGGGGGGGCAAGCGUUGUUCGGAAUUACUGGGCGUAAAGGGUUCGUAGGUGGCCAACUAAGUCAGACGUGAAAUCCCUCAGCUUAACUGGGGAACUGCGUCUGAUACUGGUUGGCUUGAGUGCAGGAGAGGAACGCGGAAUUCCAGGUGUAGCGGUGAAAUGCGUAGAUAUCUGGAGGAACACCGGUGGCGAAGGCGGCGUUCUGGACUGCAACUGACACUGAGGAACGAAAGCCAGGGGAGCAAACGGGAUUAGAUACCCCAGUAGUCC
This 451-nucleotide ribosomal RNA is filed under the name uncultured bacterium. Its description in RNAcentral is "bacterial SSU rRNA". It matches the Rfam family "Bacterial small subunit ribosomal RNA", at positions 354 to 796 of the family's 1533-position model. The record is from RNAcentral.